GUAGGGGGCAAGCGUUGUCCGGAUUUAUUGGGCGUAAAGAGCGUGUAGGCGGCCAGGUAGGUCGGUUGUGAAAACUAGAGGCUUAACCUCUAGACGUCGACCGAAACCAUCUGGCUAGAGUCCGGAAGAGGAGAGUGGAAUUCCUGGUGUAGCGGUGAAAUGCGCAGAUAUCAGGAAGAACACCCGUGGCGAAAGCGGCUCUCUGGGACGGUACUGACGCUGAGACGCGAAAGCGUGGGGAGCGAACAGGAUUAGAUACCCUGGUAGUCCACGCCGUAAACGAUGGGUGCUAGGUGUGGGAGGUGUCGACUCCUCCCGUGCCGCAGCUAACGCAUUAAGCACCCCGCCUGGGGAGUACGGCCGCAAGGCUA
Molecule: ribosomal RNA, 371 nt
Filed under: uncultured bacterium
Lineage: Bacteria
Description: bacterial SSU rRNA
Rfam family: Bacterial small subunit ribosomal RNA
Source: RNAcentral